UACGUAGGGUGCGAGCGUUAAUCGGAAUUACUGGGCGUAAAGGGUGCGUAGGCGGUUCGUUAUGUCUGCUGUGAAAGCCCCGGGCUUAACCUGGGAAUGGCAGUGGAAACUGGCGGGCUUGAGUGUGGCAGAGGGGGGUGGAAUUCCGCGUGUAGCAGUGAAAUGCGUAGAGAUGCGGAGGAACACCGAUGGCGAAGGCAGCCCCCUGGGCUAACACUGACGCUGAGGCACGAAAGCGUGGGGAGCAAACAGG
This 253-nucleotide ribosomal RNA is filed under the name uncultured bacterium. RNAcentral's name for it is "partial 16S ribosomal RNA". It matches the Rfam family "Bacterial small subunit ribosomal RNA", at positions 524 to 776 of the family's 1533-position model. The record is from RNAcentral.